CUGAAAAUAGGGUACCUGCUUUUCUUCUUUCUUGUAGAUGAGCCCAUUAGAGUCCUCUAAUGCCUGUCAUGGGGUAAGAAGAUUGAGACUCAGAAAUAACAAAGACUCAAUCACCAAUAGCAGUAAAAAUACUGAUGAAAGGCAAAACCACGGCAAUCUGCCCCAAACUUGGACAAGCAUGAGCUCCUCCCAUGAACCUGUCUGCACAUCUCUCUGUCCUUGCCUAUGGAGCAUUCUUGGAAGUCACUCCCUGUAACUUUAUUCCCCUAAGAGAAUUUCAAGAGGUUAUCAUCAUCAAAGCCUCAUCCAUUUGGUAGGCAAAAAUGCAAAAGCUCAGCAAAGUCUUCCUGGAUGCCCCCUUUUAUUCCCAUGACAAAGCCUAAGGUUGAUUCAGUGCUGAGCACCUGCAGACCCAGAUUCUGUAAAAUCACAUAAGACCGGGCAAAUUCCAGCCUCAGGUCUUACAGAUUCCCCUAGUGUUGGUUAGUAAAAAACAAUCAUAAAAUUUGUUAGCCAAUUGACUGGGUCCUAGUCACCAUAAAUACUUUCAACUCUGAGAACAAAGCUUCUUCACAGAGUCAAGAAAAAGAUUUAUGUAAGAAAAAAAUUUUCAGUUCCUCUAUGGACUGACAGCAUCUCAGUUGUACCCUUUCCAAGUUCCUGACCUUCAAAAUUCAUCUACUUGCCCAAAUGAAUGUUGUUUUAUGCUCUAAAUUUGUGCAAUAAUUCAUUGUACAGCCAUAGCAAAGCGGUAUUCUUCAACCUCAGUUUUCUCAUCUGUAAAAUGGAGUCUUUGUUGAUACAUGUCUAGUAAAUGAUUUAUGAACAAUAAAUGAUUCUUUUGCACUUGCUACA
Cavia porcellus (domestic guinea pig) is the source of this 855-nucleotide long non-coding RNA. RefSeq lists it as uncharacterized. The record is from RefSeq and is a predicted model, not a curated record. NCBI's taxonomy places the organism in Eukaryota, Metazoa, Chordata, Mammalia, Rodentia, Caviidae. The transcript is spliced from 3 exons.